RNAcentral lists this ribosomal RNA (1449 nucleotides) under uncultured bacterium. RNAcentral describes it as "16S ribosomal RNA". It matches the Rfam family "Bacterial small subunit ribosomal RNA". The record is from RNAcentral.
AGGGUUUGAUCAUGGCUCAGAACGUACGCUGGCGGCACGCCUAACACAUGCAAGUCGAACGAAGUAGCAAUACUUAGUGGCAGACGGGUGAGUAACAUGUAGGUAUCUGCCCUUUGGCCUGGAAUAACACGAGGAAACUUGUGCUAAUACCGGAUAAGUCUUUACGGAGAAAGCUUUAUGCACCAUUGGAUGAGCCUGCACUUGAUUAGUUUGUUGGUGGGGUAAUGGCCUACCAAGACUGUGAUCAAUAGCUGAUUUGAGAGGAUGAUCAGCCACAUUGGGACUGAGACACGGCCCAAACUCCUACGGGAGGCAGCAGUGGGGAAUCUUGCACAAUGGAGGAAACUCUGAUGCAGCGAUGCCGCGUGAGUGAAGAAGGCCUUUGGGUUGUAAAGCUCUUUCGUCGGGGAAGAAAAUGACUGUACCCGAAUAAGAAGGUCCGGCUAACUUCGUGCCAGCAGCCGCGGUAAUACGAAGGGACCUAGCGUAGUUCGGAAUUACUGGGCUUAAAGAGUUCGUAGGUGGUUGAAAAAGUUAGUGGUGAAAUCCCAGAGCUUAACUCUGGAACUGCCAUUAAAACUUUUCAGCUAGAGUAUGAUAGAGGAAAGCAGAAUUUCUAGUGUAGAGGUGAAAUUCGUAGAUAUUAGAAAGAAUACCAAUUGCGAAGGCAGCUUUCUGGAUCAUUACUGACACUGAGGAACGAAAGCAUGGGUAGCGAAGAGGAUUAGAUACCCUCGUAGUCCAUGCCGUAAACGAUGUGUGUUAGACGUUGGAAAUUUAUUUUCAGUGUCGCAGGGAAACCGAUAAACACACCGCCUGGGGAGUACGACCGCAAGGUUAAAACUCAAAUGAAUUGACGGGGACCCGCACAAGUAGUGGAGCAUGUGGUUUAAUUCGAAGAUACGCGCAGAACCUUACCAACACUUGACAUGUUCGUCGCGACUCUAAGAGAUUAGAGUUUUCGGUUCGGCCGGACGAAACACAGGUGCUGCAUGGCUGUCGUCAGCUCGUGUCGUGAGAUGUUGGGUUAAGUCCCGCAACGAGCGCAACCCUCACUUUUAGUUGCCAUCAUUAAGUUGGGCACUCUGAAAGAACUGCCAGUGAUAAGCUGGAGGAAGGUGGGGAUGACGUCAAGUCCUCAUGGCCCUUACGGGUUGGGCUACACACGUGCUACAAUGGUAAGUACAAUGAGAUGCCGAACAGCGAUGUUUAGCCAAACUCAAAAACUUACCUCAGUUCGGAUUGCACUCUGCAACUCGAGUGCAUGAAGCUGGAAUCGCUAGUAAUCGUGGAUCAGCGUGCCACGGUGAAUACGUUCCCGGGUCUUGUACACACCGCCCGUCACACCAUGGAAGUUAGAUUUACCUUAAGGCAAGUUAUGAACCCUCGGGACAUGCUUGACCACGGUAAGUUUAGCAACUGGGGUGAAGUCAUAACAAGGUAGCCGUA